CCUACGGGAUGCUGCAGUGGGGAAUAUUGGACAAUGGGCGAAAGCCUGAUCCAGCCAUGCCGCGUGUGUGAAGAAGGCCUUCGGGUUGUAAAGCACUUUCAGUGGGGAAGAAAGCCUUGGGGCUAAUACCCUCGAUGAAGGACAUCACCCACAGAAGAAGCACCGGCUAACUCCGUGCCAGCAGCCGCGGUAAUACGGAGGGUGCGAGCGUUACUCGGAAUUACUGGGCGUAAAGCGCGCGUAGGCGGUCUGAUAAGCCGGUUGUGAAAGCCCCGGGCUCAACCUGGGAACGGCAUCCGGAACUGGCAGGCUAGAGUGCAGGAGAGGAAGGUAGAAUUCCCGGUGUAGCGGUGAAAUGCGUAGAGAUCGGGAGGAAUACCAGUGGCGAAGGCGGCCUUCUGGACUGACACUGACGCUGAGGUGCGAAAGCGUGGGUAGCAAACAGGAUUAGAUACCCGAGUAGUC
Molecule: ribosomal RNA, 465 nt
Filed under: Vreelandella stevensii
Lineage: Bacteria; Pseudomonadati; Pseudomonadota; Gammaproteobacteria; Oceanospirillales; Halomonadaceae
Description: partial 16S ribosomal RNA
Rfam family: Bacterial small subunit ribosomal RNA
Source: RNAcentral